GGGGUAUUAGUUUUCGGACUAAGAGACCGGCGCACGGGUGCGUAACGCGUAUGCAAUCUACCUUUUACAGAGGGAUAGCCCAGAGAAAUUUGGAUUAAUACCUCAUAGUAUAAUGACUCGGCAUCGAGAUAUUAUUAAAGUCACAACGGUAAAAGAUGAGCAUGCGUCCCAUUAGCUAGUUGGUAAGGUAACGGCUUACCAAGGCUACGAUGGGUAGGGGUCCUGAGAGGGAGAUCCCCCACACUGGUACUGAGACACGGACCACACUCCUACGGGAGGCAGCAGUGAGGAAUAUUGGACAAUGGGCGCAAGCCUGAUCCAGCCAUGCCGCGUGCAGGAUGACGGUCCUAUGGAUUGUAAA
This 361-nucleotide ribosomal RNA is filed under the name uncultured Bacteroidota bacterium. RNAcentral's name for it is "bacterial SSU rRNA". It matches the Rfam family "Bacterial small subunit ribosomal RNA", at positions 66 to 429 of the family's 1533-position model. The record is from RNAcentral. Lineage: Bacteria; Pseudomonadati; Bacteroidota.